Molecule: ribosomal RNA, 500 nt
Filed under: uncultured bacterium
Lineage: Bacteria
Description: partial 16S ribosomal RNA
Rfam family: Bacterial small subunit ribosomal RNA
Source: RNAcentral
AUUGAACGCUGGCGGCAGGCCUAACACAUGCAAGUCGAGCGGAUGACGGGAGCUUGCUCCUUGAUUCAGCGGCGGACGGGUGAGUAAUGCCUAGGAAUCUGCCUGGUAGUGGGGGACAACGUUUCGAAAGGAACGCUAAUACCGCAUACGUCCUACGGGAGAAAGCAGGGGACCUUCGGGCCUUGCGCUAUCAGAUGAGCCUAGGUCGGAUUAGCUAGUUGGUGGGGUAAUGGCUCACCAAGGCGACGAUCCGUAACUGGUCUGAGAGGAUGAUCAGUCACACUGGAACUGAGACACGGUCCAGACUCCUACGGGAGGCAGCAGUGGGGAAUAUUGGACAAUGGGCGAAAGCCUGAUCCAGCCAUGCCGCGUGUGUGAAGAAGGUCUUCGGAUUGUAAAGCACUUUAAGUUGGGAGGAAGGGCAGUAAGCUAACACCUUGCUGUUUUGACGUUACCGACAGAAUAAGCACCGGCUAACUUCGUGCCAGCCGCCGCAGUAA